Molecule: long non-coding RNA, 322 nt
Organism: Esox lucius (northern pike)
Lineage: Eukaryota; Metazoa; Chordata; Actinopteri; Esociformes; Esocidae
Exons: 4
Source: RefSeq, a predicted model, not a curated record
UGCAAUUCUGGCUUUUAGCAGUCCCACCGGCAGAUCAUCUUGAUGCAGAGAGCAACAUCAACCCGCACGAAACAAGCAUUUGCACCACUGGGACACUUGAGCUCUCACCCCCUGCCACAACACCCUGAUAAAGGAAUACAUGGCCAGACUUGCCAUUUGGUCUCUGUAGUUUCCUCACCACUGAGCCAGUUGCAUCAAAACUCACAGUGGGGGUGGCCAAAUUAGGCAGAUGACUUGGCUCAGGAUCUCCAAAAUCCAUCAGCUUUAUUGCCUCUGAUGCCCUCCAUACAUGGGGUUCCUUUCUACCCUCACACAGUUCUUU